AACGAACGCUGGCGGCAUGCCUAACACAUGCAAGUCGAACGAGACCUCCGGGUCUUUUGGCGCACGGGUGUGUAACGCGUGGGAACCUGCACUUAGGUUCGGAAUAACUCUCCGAAAGGGGUGCUAAUACCGGAUAAUGUCUUCGGACCAAGCAUUUAUUGCCCUUGGUUGUGCCCGCGUUGGAUUAGCUUGUUGUUAGGGUAAAAGACUACUAAGGCGACGAUUCAUAGCUGGUCUGAGAGGAUGGUCAGCCACACUGAGACUGAGACGCGGCCGAGACUCCUACGCGAGGGAGGAGAGGGUAAUGUAGCAACGCGGGGGGAGGCAUGAUGCAGCACGGCCGGGAGAGUUAUGAAAGCAUUGAGGAAGUAAAGCUCAAUUAACCGGGAAGAUAAUGACGGUACCGAGAGAAUAAGCUCCGGCUAACUCCGUG
Molecule: ribosomal RNA, 433 nt
Filed under: uncultured bacterium
Lineage: Bacteria
Description: partial 16S ribosomal RNA
Rfam family: Bacterial small subunit ribosomal RNA
Source: RNAcentral